UACGUAGGUGGCAAGCGUUAUCCGGAAUGAUUGGGCGUAAAGGGUGAGCAGGCGGUUCUUCAAGUCAUGAGUGAAAGGCAGAAGCUUAACUUCUGUUGGCUGAUGAGACUGGAGAACUUGAGUACAGGAGAGGGCGGCGGAACUCCAUGUGUAGCGGUAAAAUGCGUAGAUAUAUGGAAGAACACCAGUGGCGAAGGCGGCUCUCUGGUCUGCAACUGACGCUGAGGCUCGCAAGCAUGGGUAGCGAACAGG
This 252-nucleotide ribosomal RNA is filed under the name uncultured Allobaculum sp. RNAcentral describes it as "partial 16S ribosomal RNA". It matches the Rfam family "Bacterial small subunit ribosomal RNA", at positions 524 to 776 of the family's 1533-position model. The record is from RNAcentral. Lineage: Bacteria; Bacillati; Bacillota; Erysipelotrichia; Erysipelotrichales; Erysipelotrichaceae.